AACUUUCAGCAGUGGAUGUCUAGGCUCGCACAUCGAUGAAGAACGCUGCGAACUGCGAUACGUAAUGCGAAUUGCAGGAUUCAGUGGGGUCAUCGAAAUUUUGAA
Molecule: ribosomal RNA, 105 nt
Filed under: Phytophthora infestans T30-4
Lineage: Eukaryota; Oomycota; Peronosporomycetes; Peronosporales; Peronosporaceae
Description: 5.8S ribosomal RNA
Rfam family: 5.8S ribosomal RNA
About the family: 5.8S ribosomal RNA (5.8S rRNA) is a component of the large subunit of the eukaryotic ribosome. It is transcribed by RNA polymerase I as part of the 45S precursor that also contains 18S and 28S rRNA. Functionally, it is thought that 5.8S rRNA may be involved in ribosome translocation.
Source: RNAcentral